Molecule: ribosomal RNA, 327 nt
Filed under: uncultured eukaryote
Lineage: Eukaryota
Description: partial 18S ribosomal RNA
Rfam family: Eukaryotic small subunit ribosomal RNA
Source: RNAcentral
CCCUUAGAUGUUCUGGGCCGCACACGCGCUACACUGCAGGAGGCAGCGUGUACUCCUGGAUCGAAAGAUUUGGGUAACCCGCGAAUCUCCUUCGUGCUAGGGAUUGAGGUUUGCAAUUAUCCUUCAUGAACGAGGAAUUCCCAGUAAGUGCAAGUCAUAAGCUUGCGCUGACUACGUCCCUGCCCUUUGUACACACCGCCCGUCGCUACUACCGAUUGAAUGAUUUAGUGAGGACUUCGGACUGGGACCGAUGCGGCUUUCGGGCUGCGUCGGUAUUCUGGAAAGAUGUCCAAACUGUAUCAUUUAGAGGAAGUAAAAGUCGUAACA